Molecule: non-coding RNA, 190 nt
Filed under: unclassified sequences
Description: RT-16 RNA
Rfam family: RT-16 RNA (bases 23-190)
About the family: candidate division DUSEL4 (Archaea). Nearby to self-splicing intron genes
Source: Rfam by way of RNAcentral
UUUAUUCCUCCGUCCUGGAAGCUCCUCAUCUUUUUGAGCAAUUGAUUUGGAGAAAUGGACUACAUGUCAAUUUACCAGUACAUUAUUUAGAUUUAUUUUAAGUCAUAAAAUUCAACUUUGACAUUAAGUAGGAAACGAAAUAUGAAAAGGUGGUGAAAACUUUAAGUUAAAGAUAAAUUGACUAUCUAUA